CGGGUUUUGGCGCAGCUUGGUAGCGCACCUGACUGGGGGUCAGGGGGUCGCAGGUUCAAAUCCUGUCAACCCGA
Molecule: transfer RNA, 74 nt
Filed under: Microthrixaceae bacterium
Lineage: Bacteria; Bacillati; Actinomycetota; Acidimicrobiia; Acidimicrobiales; Microthrixaceae
Description: tRNA-Pro
Rfam family: tRNA
About the family: Transfer RNA (tRNA) molecules are approximately 80 nucleotides in length. Their secondary structure includes four short double-helical elements and three loops (D, anti-codon, and T loops).
Source: RNAcentral